AGUCAAUAGAUACCCCGGUAGUCCAUGCCGUAAACGAUGAUUGCUAGGUGUGGGGGGUCUGACCCCUUCCGUGCCGGAGUUAAACACAAAUAAGCAAUCCACCUGGGGAGUACGGCCGCAAGGUUGAAACUCAAAGGAAUUGACGGGGGCCCGCACAAGCAGUGGAGUAUGUGGUUUAAUUCGAAGCAACGCGAAGAACCUUACCAGGUCUUGACAUCCACCGAAUCCUGUAGAGAUACGGGAGUGCCCUUCGGGGAACGGUAAGACAGGUGGUGCAUGGUUGUCGUCAGCUCGUGUCGUGAGAUGUUGGGUUAAGUCCCGCAACGAGCGCAACCCUUGUGAAUAGUUGCUACGAAAGAGCACUCUAUUCAGACCGCCGUUGACAAAACGGAGGAAGGUGGGGAUGACGUCAAAUCAUCAUGCCCCUUAUGACCUGGGCUACACACGUACUACAAUGGCCGUUAACAGAGGGAUGCAAUACCGCGAGGUGGAGCGAACCCCUAAAAACGGUCUCAGUUCAGAUUGCAGGCUGAAACUCGCCUGC
This 544-nucleotide ribosomal RNA is filed under the name uncultured bacterium. Its description in RNAcentral is "bacterial SSU rRNA". It matches the Rfam family "Bacterial small subunit ribosomal RNA", at positions 775 to 1319 of the family's 1533-position model. The record is from RNAcentral.